Molecule: transfer RNA, 73 nt
Filed under: Bacteroidota bacterium
Lineage: Bacteria; Pseudomonadati; Bacteroidota
Also listed under: 1 other name
Description: tRNA-Lys
Rfam family: tRNA
About the family: Transfer RNA (tRNA) molecules are approximately 80 nucleotides in length. Their secondary structure includes four short double-helical elements and three loops (D, anti-codon, and T loops).
Source: RNAcentral
GCUUCCUUAGCUCAGUUGGUAGAGCAACUGACUCUUAAUCAGUGGGUCGCGGGUUCGAGUCCCGCAGGGAGCA